GAUGAAGAACGCAGCGAAAUGCGAUAAGUAAUGUGAAUUGCAGAAUUCAGUGAAUCAUCGAAUCUUUGAACGCACAUUGCGCCCGUCAGUAUUCUGGCGGGCAUGCCUGUUCGAGCGUCAUUACGCCCCUCAAGUCCCCUGUGGACUUGGUGUUGGGGAUCGGCGAGGCUGGUUUUCCAGCACAGCCGUCCCUUAAAUUAAUUGGCGGUCUCGCCGUGGCCCUCCCCUGCGCAGUAGUAAAACACUCGCAACAGGAGCCCGGCGCGGUCCACUGCCGUAAAACCCCCCAACUUUUUAUAGUUGACCUCGAAUCAGGUAGGACUACCCGCUGAACUUAAGCAUAUCAAUAAGCGGAGGA
RNAcentral lists this unclassified non-coding RNA (358 nucleotides) under soil metagenome. RNAcentral describes it as "partial contains 5.8S ribosomal RNA, internal transcribed spacer 2, and large subunit ribosomal RNA". The stretch from base 1 to 120 matches the Rfam family "5.8S ribosomal RNA", at positions 35 to 154 of the family's 154-position model. The record is from RNAcentral.